Molecule: ribosomal RNA, 528 nt
Filed under: uncultured bacterium
Lineage: Bacteria
Description: bacterial SSU rRNA
Rfam family: Bacterial small subunit ribosomal RNA
Source: RNAcentral
UACGUAGGUGGCGAGCGUUGUCCGGAAUUACUGGGUGUAAAGGGCGUGUAGGCGGGGAGGCAAGUCAGAUGUGAAAUCCCGAGGCUCAACUUCGGAGCUGCAUCUGAAACUGUUUUUCUUGAGUACUGGAGAGGAAAGUGGAAUUCCUAGUGUAGCGGUGAAAUGCGUAGAGAUUAGGAGGAACACCAGUGGCGAAGGCGGCUUUCUGGACAGUAACUGACGCUGAGGCGCGAAAGCGUGGGGAGCAAACAGGAUUAGAUACCCUGGUAGUCCACGCCGUAAACGAUGGAUACUAGGUGUGGGAGGUAUCGACCCCUUCCGUGCCGGAGUUAACACAAUAAGUAUCCCACCUGGGGAGUACGGCCGCAAGGCUGAAACUCAAAGGAAUUGACGGGGGCCCGCACAAGCAGUGGAGUAUGUGGUUUAAUUCGAAGCAACGCGAAGAACCUUACCAGGGCUUGACAUACCGAUGACCGGGUUAGAGAUAACCCUUCCCUUCGGGGCAUUGGAUACAGGUGGUGCAUGGUU